UGAUACUGUAAAAGACAGCUAA
Molecule: microRNA, 22 nt
Filed under: Strongyloides ratti
Lineage: Eukaryota; Metazoa; Nematoda; Chromadorea; Rhabditida; Strongyloididae
Description: str-miR-8379b-5p
Source: miRBase by way of RNAcentral